RNAcentral lists this long non-coding RNA (443 nucleotides) under Macaca fascicularis (crab-eating macaque). RNAcentral's name for it is "lncRNA (ENSMFAG00000054451.1)". Lineage: Eukaryota; Metazoa; Chordata; Mammalia; Primates; Cercopithecidae. The record is from RNAcentral.
CUUCUGUAGUAAAUCUCAGGUUGUUGUUCACCAGCGAAUUCAUGUAGGAGAAAAAUCCUAUGAAUGCAAGGAAUGUGGGAAAGGCUUUAAUAAAAACACACACCUCAUAACACAUCAAAGAAUUCACACAGGAGAAAAACCUUAUGAAUGCACUGAAUGUGGGAAAGCUUUUAUACACACAUCACAGCUUACUGUACAUCAGAGAAAUCAUACAGGAAGAAAACCUCAUGAAUCCAAGGAAUGAGGGAAAUCCUUUAAUAAAAAGUCACUUCAUAAUAUCGAGAAUUCAUACAGGAGAGAAUGCAGUGAAUGUGGGAAAUCUUUUUCUGUCAAAUCUUUUCUCACUACCCAUCAGGAAAUUCAUACAGGAAACAAAUUUCACAAACACAGUAAGUGCUGGAAGGACUUCAGUGAGAUGUCAAAUAUCCCUGAAUAUAAGAUGA